GGGGUUGUGGCUCAGUGGUAGAGCACUUACCCACAUGCAUGAGGCACUGGGUUCGAUCCUCAGCACCACA
This 70-nucleotide transfer RNA is filed under the name Marmota monax (woodchuck). RNAcentral describes it as "tRNA.Undet". Lineage: Eukaryota; Metazoa; Chordata; Mammalia; Rodentia; Sciuridae. The record is from RNAcentral.